This 264-nucleotide ribosomal RNA is filed under the name Cynanchum somaliense. Its description in RNAcentral is "partial 26S ribosomal RNA". Lineage: Eukaryota; Viridiplantae; Streptophyta; Magnoliopsida; Gentianales; Apocynaceae. The record is from RNAcentral.
AUUGCGUCGUUCCCCCCCGCACCCCUGUCCCGAAAGGGCCGCGGGCUUUAGCGUGGGGGGGCGGAAGUUGGCUUCCCGUGCAGAUUGUUUUGCGGCUAGCCUGAAACACGGUUCCCUCGCCGCGGACGUCGCGACAAGUGGUGGUCGUCCAGAUUGUACGCGAGUUGCGGGCGAAGCCGCGUCGAGGAGAGCAUUUGGACCCCGUGCGUGCGAGAUGAGUCCUUCACCGAGGGGCAUUUCCAACGAUUGCGACCCAGGUCAGGC